AUUGAAAUAUGUCUGUUUUUUAAUUAACUGAGCAAAAUAUUUGAAUUGGAGAGAGUAUUGCUUCAACACAUGAAGGCUUGCUUUGCAAUGCCUUCAGUUUCUUUUAUUUAUAGAACGAAAAAACUUUACAAGCAUCUUUACACGUUUUUUAAAUGCUAACCUAUAAGCCAAAAAGGCUAGUACCUAGGCUAGUACACUAAAAAGUUUAAAGUCUUUAUAGCCUUAAAAAUUUCUACAAGUCUAGAAAAGUCUACAUAGGCAAUAAUUACAAUUCGUAAAGACUAAAAAUCUAUACAAUGAAUUCAAUAUCUUGUCUCCGUUGAUGUUGUCGUAUCUGCUAUAUCUCCAUUAUUACUUCUUAUCUUAUCUUUCCAGCUGGCAUUUUGUCUUCUUGAUUUUUAUUCUAGAUGUACUUCUGGAAUAAUGUUAUCUUCUCCAUUACAUCUUGAACAUUGGUGAUCUGGAUAUUUGUGUNNNNN
Molecule: long non-coding RNA, 479 nt
Filed under: Capsicum annuum
Lineage: Eukaryota; Viridiplantae; Streptophyta; Magnoliopsida; Solanales; Solanaceae
Description: long non-coding RNA (CANN_LNC011430)
Source: RNAcentral